Molecule: transfer RNA, 69 nt
Filed under: pig gut metagenome
Rfam family: tRNA
About the family: Transfer RNA (tRNA) molecules are approximately 80 nucleotides in length. Their secondary structure includes four short double-helical elements and three loops (D, anti-codon, and T loops).
Source: RNAcentral
CGGUAUAGCUCAGCUGGUAGAGCAUCUCAUUCGUAAUGAGAGGGUCGUUGGUUCGAGUCCAAUUAUCGG